This 814-nucleotide ribosomal RNA is filed under the name uncultured bacterium. RNAcentral describes it as "bacterial SSU rRNA". It matches the Rfam family "Bacterial small subunit ribosomal RNA", at positions 26 to 834 of the family's 1533-position model. The record is from RNAcentral.
AGGUAUGUAACGCUAGCGGCAGGCCUAACACAUGCAAGUCGAGGGGUAACGAUGUCUUCGGACAGUCGACGACCGGCGCACGGGUGAGUAUCGCGUUUGUAACCUACCUUUAACUGGAGAAUAGCCCGAAGAAAUUCGGAUUAAUACUCCAUAAUACUAUGAUCUGGCAUCUUUUUAUAGUUAAAGCUCCGGCGGUUAAAGAUGGACAUGCGUAACAUUAGUUUGUUGGUGAGGUAACGGCUCACCAAGACUACGAUGUUUAGGGGGUCUGAGAGGAUGGUCCCCCACACUGGUACUGAGACACGGACCAGACUCCUACGGGAGGCAGCAGUGAGGAAUAUUGGUCAAUGGGCGAAAGCCUGAACCAGCCAUGCCGCGUGAAGGAUGACAGCGCUAUGCGUUGUAAACUUCUUUUGUACAGGAAGAAACACUUUCUACGUGUAGAAGCUUGACGGUACUGUACGAAUAAGCAUCGGCUAACUCCGUGCCAGCAGCCGCGGUAAUACGGAGGAUGCAAGCGUUAUCCGGAUUUAUUGGGUUUAAAGGGUACGUAGGCGGAAAAUUAAGUCAGUAGUGAAAUCCCGCAGCUUAACUGUGGGACUGUUAUUGAUACUGGUUUUCUUGAAUUUAGUUGAGGUAGGCGGAAUGUGUAAUGUAGCGGUGAAAUGCUUAGAUAUUACACAGAACACCGAUUGCGAAGGCAGCUUACUAAGCUAUGAUUGACGCUGAGGUACGAAAGCGUGGGGAGCGAACAGGAUUAGAUACCCUGGUAGUCCACGCCGUAAACGAUGAUCACUCGUUGUUGGCAAUAAAC